Molecule: ribosomal RNA, 1170 nt
Filed under: Triticum aestivum (bread wheat)
Lineage: Eukaryota; Viridiplantae; Streptophyta; Magnoliopsida; Poales; Poaceae
Description: partial small subunit ribosomal RNA
Source: RNAcentral
AUGGCGGAGGCCGCGGCCGCGGCCGCAGGAGCGACGCCUCUCCUCCGCAACCUCCCUGACGAGAUCGUGCUCUGGGAGAUCCUCGCCCGCCUCGACCCCAGAUCCCUCGUCCGCUGCCGCGCCUGGCGCCGCGCCACCUCCACCCGCCGCUUCCUCCUGGCCCACCACGCCCGCCAGUCCGCCCUCCCCAUCGUCGCCGACAACGGGCACCGUACCUUCCUCGCCUUCGACCACCGGGCCGCCGCCGCCGACGCCCAGUUCCACACCGUCGCCCGGCUUGGCGAGUCCUUCAGUCUGGAGCUCUGCUGCGACGGUCUCCUCCUCAUCGCCAAGUCUGGCAUGCUUGGCAGUCGCGCCCGCCUCGCCGUCUGCAACCCGGUAACGCGUCAGCACGCCUCCCUCCCGCCGCUGACGGACUUCAACAUCCUGGGGAUGUACCUACACGGACCUACCGGCGAGUACCGGCUGUUACUGCAGUGGAGGAGUGCAAUGGACUGGGGGGACGACAGUGACUGUGACUCGCCUACAGGCAAAAAUGGCUGCUAUGUCUUUGCGCUGGGAUCCGACCAGCCACCGAGGUACAUCGGGUUGUCGGAGCCCAAAUUCUCGUCGGCUUACUUCCACGGACCUGCCCGGGUGUGUGAUAGCCUGCAUUGGUGCCUGUUUUAUCGCCCAGGCGAGAACCCACUGGAGGAUUGUGAGGCUGGAUGGGAACUGGUGGUAUUUGACACCAUAGCUGAGUCGUUUCGGCAGAUGCAUGCUCCAGCUGAUCCCACCAAGUCAUUCAUCUUUCAGAUGGAUGACAUGCUUGGCAUCUAUUGCUGUAACAAGGAUGCGGAAGUUGUUGAUAUAUGGGUGUUGCCAAACUACGAAAGUGAGGUUUGGGACUUAAAGUACCGGGUUGCAUUGCCAAUCACAGAAAUCAGGGGAAAGCUUGAAGGCCAUGAUGGUGAGGCCUAUUGGUAUGCGACCGUUGCUUCGGGUGGUGGUGACAUGCUCUUGCUGGUCAGUUUUGGUUUUUGGCUGUUUUACGUUGACACUAAUGGCAAACUGGUCGCUAGCUUCCAAGACAUCUUUCCCUCUAGGCAUCGGCUCAAACAAACUCUUGUUCCGCAUGAUUUCUUCAGAACAGUAAAAGGUCAGGCUGUCGACGCUUCACCUUUGAUCUGA